CCUACGGGAGGCAGCAGUCGAGGAUCUUCGGCAAUGGGCGCAAGCCUGACCGAGCGACGCCGCGUGUGCGAUGAAGGCCUUCGGGUUGUAAAGCACUGUCGAGGGGGAGGAAAGCCCGCAAGGGCCUGACCUAUCCCUGAGGAAGCACGGGCUAAGUUCGUGCCAGCAGCCGCGGUAAGACGAACCGUGCGAACGUUGUUCGGAAUCACUGGGCUUAAAGGGCGCGUAGGCGGGCCCUCCAGUCAGGGGUGAAAGCCCACGGCUUAACCGUGGAAGUGCCCCUGAUACUGAGGGUCUCGAGGGGUGUAGGGGCAUGCGGAACUUCCGGUGGAGCGGUGAAAUGCGUAGAUAUCGGAAGGAACGCCGGUGGCGAAAGCGGCGUGCUGGACACCUUCUGACGCUGAGGCGCGAAAGCCAGGGGAGCAAACGGGAUUAGAUACCCCGGUAGUCCUGGCCCUAAACGAUGGGUACUAGAUUGUGGACCGGACAUGGGUUCACAGUCGAAGCAAAAGUGAUAAGUACCCCGCCUGGGGAGUAUGGUCGCAAGGCUGAAACUCAAAGGAAUUGACGGGGGCUCACACAAGCGGUGGAGCAUGUGGCUUAAUUCGAGGCUACGCGAAGAACCUUAUCCUGUGCUUGACAUGUGGCGGUGGGAAGUAGGACGCGGAAACGCGAACGAACGGUAUCCAGUCCGGAACCUACCACAGGUGCUGCAUGGCUGUCGUCAGCUCGUGUCGUGAGAUGUCGGGUUAAGUCUCAUAACGAGCGAAACCUCUGUUUCCAGUUUGCUAACGCUUCGGGCGAGGACUCUGGAAAGACUGCCGGUGUUAACCGGAGGAAGGUGGGGAUGA
RNAcentral lists this ribosomal RNA (851 nucleotides) under uncultured bacterium. RNAcentral describes it as "bacterial SSU rRNA". It matches the Rfam family "Bacterial small subunit ribosomal RNA", at positions 338 to 1182 of the family's 1533-position model. The record is from RNAcentral.